AGGGGAUUGGUGUAACGGUAGCACGAAUGGUUCUGGUCCAUUUAGUCGGGGUUCGAAUCCCUGAUCCCCUG
Molecule: transfer RNA, 71 nt
Filed under: Phycisphaerae bacterium
Lineage: Bacteria; Pseudomonadati; Planctomycetota; Phycisphaerae
Also listed under: 2 other names
Description: tRNA-Gln
Rfam family: tRNA
About the family: Transfer RNA (tRNA) molecules are approximately 80 nucleotides in length. Their secondary structure includes four short double-helical elements and three loops (D, anti-codon, and T loops). Further hydrogen bonds mediate the characteristic L-shaped molecular structure. tRNAs have two regions of fundamental functional importance: the anti-codon, which is responsible for specific mRNA codon recognition, and the 3' end, to which the tRNAs corresponding amino acid is attached (by aminoacyl-tRNA synthetases). tRNAs cope with the degeneracy of the genetic code in two manners: having more than one tRNA (with a specific anti-codon) for a particular amino acid; and 'wobble' base-pairing, i.e. permitting non-standard base-pairing at the 3rd anti-codon position.
Source: RNAcentral